RNAcentral lists this long non-coding RNA (505 nucleotides) under Anas platyrhynchos platyrhynchos (common mallard). RNAcentral describes it as "lncRNA (ENSAPLG00000022844.1)". Lineage: Eukaryota; Metazoa; Chordata; Aves; Anseriformes; Anatidae. The record is from RNAcentral.
CUUAUGGUCUCUGUGGCCUUUUUUCGGUCUCUGUGGUCUCUCUAGUCUUUUUUUGGUCUCUAUGUGGUGUAUAUGGCCUCUAUGGUCUCCUUUUGGCCUCUAUGGUCUCCUUUUAGCCUCUGAUCUCUAUGAUAUUUUUUGGUCUCUGUGGUCUCUAUAGUCUCUACAGUCUCUGUGGUCUUUGGUCUCUAUAGUCUCUGCAGUCUGUACACUCUUUUGGUCUCUAUGGCCUUUUUUUCGUCUCUGUGGUCUCUGUAGUCUCUUUUUGGUCUCUGUGGUCUCUAUAGUGCUUUUUUGGUCUCUAUGGUGUGUACAGGCUUUUGGUCUCUAUGGUCUCUACAGUCUGUACAGGCUUUUGGUCUCCUUUUGGUCUCUAUGGUCUUUUUUGGCCUCUAUGGUCUCUAUGGUCUUUCUACUCUGUGAUCUCUAUGGUAUUUUUAUGGUCUCCAUGGUCUCCAUAGUCUCUAUAGUCUCUAUAGUCUCAGUGGUCUCUUGGUGUCUCUAG